RNAcentral lists this ribosomal RNA (720 nucleotides) under uncultured anaerobic ammonium-oxidizing bacterium. Its description in RNAcentral is "bacterial SSU rRNA". It matches the Rfam family "Bacterial small subunit ribosomal RNA", at positions 565 to 1274 of the family's 1533-position model. The record is from RNAcentral.
GAGCACGUAGGUGGGUUUGUAAGUCAGAUGUGAAAGCCUUCUGUUCAACGGGAGAAUUGCAUCUGAAACUACAGACCUUGAGUAUAGGAGGGGAGAAUGGAACUUCUGGUGGAGCGGUGAAAUGCGUAGAUAUCAGAAGGAACGCCGGCGGCGAAAGCGAUUCUCUGGCCUAUUACUGACACUCAGUGUGCGAAAGCUAGGGGAGCAAACGGGAUUAGAUACCCCGGUAGUCCUAGCCGUAAACGAUGGGCACUAAGUAGAGGGAAUUACCGAUGUUCUCUCUGCCGUAGCUAACGCAUUAAGUGCCCCGCCUGGGGAGUACGGCCGCAAGGCUAAAACUCAAAAGAAUUGACGGGGGCUCGCACAAGCGGUGGAGCAUGUGGCUUAAUUCGAUGCAACGCGAUAAACCUUACCGGGGCUUGACAUGUUAGAAGUAGGAACCCGAAAGGGUGACGAACGGUAUCCAGUCCGUAACUUUCACAGGUGUUGCAUGGCUGUCGUCAGCUCGUGUCGUGAGACGUUGGGUUAAGUCCCCUAACGAGCGAAACCCUUGUUUUUAGUUACCAGUGGGUUAUGCCGGGUACUCUAGAAAGACUGCCGUCGUCAAGACGGAGGAAGGUGGGGAUGACGUCAAGUCAUCAUGGCCCUUAUGCCCCGGGCUGCACACGUGCUACAAUGGUCGGUACAAACGGAAGCCAAACCGAGAGGUGAAGCGAAUCC